RNAcentral lists this ribosomal RNA (573 nucleotides) under Paradictyoarthrinium hydei. RNAcentral describes it as "partial large subunit ribosomal RNA". It matches the Rfam family "Eukaryotic large subunit ribosomal RNA", at positions 84 to 675 of the family's 3401-position model. The record is from RNAcentral. Lineage: Eukaryota; Fungi; Ascomycota; Dothideomycetes; Pleosporales; Paradictyoarthriniaceae.
UAACGGCGAGUGAAGCGGCAACAGCUCAAUUUGAAAUCUGGCUCUUUCAGGGUCCGAGUUGUAAUUUGCAGAGGGUGCUUUGGCGUUGGCUGCGGUCUAAGUUCCUUGGAACAGGACGUCACAGAGGGUGAGAAUCCCGUACGUGGCUGCAUGCCUUGGCCGUGUAAAGCCCCUUCGACGAGUCGAGUUGUUUGGGAAUGCAGCUCUAAUGGGAGGUAAAUUUCUUCUAAAGCUAAAUACUGGCCAGAGACCGAUGCGCACAAGUAGAGUGAUCGAAAGAUGAAAAGCACUUUGGAAAGAGAGUCAAACAGCACGUGAAAUUGUUGAAAGGGAAGCGCUUGCAGCCAGACUUGCCUGCAGUUGCUCACCCGGGCUCCUGCCCGGGGCACUCUUCUGUAGGCAGGCCAGCAUCAGUCCGGGCGGUCGGAAAAUGGCCUCUAUCACGUACAUUCCCUCGGGAAGACCUUAUAGGGGAGGCGUAAUGCGUCCAGCCUGGACUGAGGUCCGCGCAUCUGCUAGGAUGCUGGCGUAAUGGCUGUAAGCGGCCCGUCUUGAAACACGGACCAAGGAGUC